UAGGAGAGAGUUUGUAAGUCGCUCUGGAUAAGAGCGUCUGCUAAAUGACUUAAA
Non-coding RNA from Salmo salar (Atlantic salmon), 54 nucleotides. Lineage: Eukaryota; Metazoa; Chordata; Actinopteri; Salmoniformes; Salmonidae. The record is from Rfam.